Molecule: ribosomal RNA, 708 nt
Filed under: uncultured bacterium
Lineage: Bacteria
Description: bacterial SSU rRNA
Rfam family: Bacterial small subunit ribosomal RNA
Source: RNAcentral
GAGCGAGAAGCAGGAGCAAUCUUGUGAGUAAAGCGGCGUACGGGUGAGUAACACGUGGAUUAUCUACCUCUUUGUGGGGGAUAACCCUGGGAAACCGGGGCUAAUACCGCAUAAGUUCGAGAGAAGAAAGCAGCAAUGCGCAGAGAGAGGAGUCCGCGGCCGAUUAGUUAGUUGGCAGGGUAAAAGCCUACCAAGACAAAGAUCGGUAGCCGGCCUGAGAGGGCACACGGCCACACUGGCACUGAAACACGGGCCAGACUCCUACGGGAGGCAGCAGUGGGGAAUCUUGCACAAUGGGGGCAACCCUGAUGCAGCGACGCCGCGUGAGCGAUGAAGCCCUUCGGGGUGUAAAGCUCUUUCGGCAGGGAAGAUUAUGACGGUACCUGCAGAAGCAGCUGCGGCUAACUACGUGCCAGCAGCCGCGGUAAUACGUAGGCAGCAAGCGUUGUUCGGAGUUACUGGGCGUAAAGGGUGUGUAGGCGGUUCUCUAAGUUUGGUGUGAAAUCUCCCGGCUCAACUGGGAGGGUGCGCCGAAAACUGGGGGGCUAGAGUACUGGAUGGGAGAGUGGAAUUCCUGGUGUAGCGGUGAAAUGCGUAGAUAUCAGGAGGAACACCUGUGGUGUAGACGGCUCUCUGGACAGUAACUGACGCUGAGACACGAAAGCGUGGGUAGCAAACAGGAUUAGAUACCCUGGUAGUCCACGCCCU